RNAcentral lists this ribosomal RNA (425 nucleotides) under uncultured bacterium. Its description in RNAcentral is "bacterial SSU rRNA". It matches the Rfam family "Bacterial small subunit ribosomal RNA", at positions 356 to 773 of the family's 1533-position model. The record is from RNAcentral.
GGGGAAUAUUGCACAAUGGGCGCAAGCCUGAUGCAGCCAUGCCGCGUGUAUGAAGAAGGCCUUCGGGUUGUAAAGUACUUUCAGCGGGGAGGAAGGCGAUAAGGUUAAUAACCUUGUCGAUUGACGUUACCCGCAGAAGAAGCACCGGCUAACUCCGUGCCAGCAGCCGCGGUAAUACGGAGGGUGCAAGCGUUAAUCGGAAUUACUGGGCGUAGAGCGCACGCAGGCGGUCUGUCAAGUCGGAUGUGAAAUCCCCGGGCUCAACCUGGGAACUGCAUUCGAAACUGGCAGGCUGGAGUCAUGUAGAGGGGGGUAGAAUUCCAGGUGUAGCGGUGAAAUGCGUAGAGAUCUGGAGGAAUACCGGUGGCGAAGGCGGCCCCCUGGACAAAGACUGACGCUCAGGUGCGAAAGCGUGGGGAGCAAAC